RNAcentral lists this microRNA (22 nucleotides) under Ophiophagus hannah (king cobra). Its description in RNAcentral is "oha-miR-551b-3p". Its record names the gene oha-miR-551b-3p. RNAcentral also lists the same sequence under 1 other name. Lineage: Eukaryota; Metazoa; Chordata; Lepidosauria; Squamata; Elapidae. The record is from miRBase by way of RNAcentral.
GGCGACCCAUACUUGGUUUCAG